UACGGAGGAUACGAGCGUUAUCCGGAUUUAUUGGGUUUAAAGGGUGCGUAGGUGGCUUUAUAAGUCAGUGGUGAAAAGCUGUGGCUCAACCAUAGUCUUGCCGUUGAAACUGUGGAGCUUGAGUGCGGAUGAGGUAGGCGGAACGCGUAGUGUAGCGGUGAAAUGCAUAGAUAUUACGCAGAACUCCGAUUGCGAAGGCAGCUUACCAAACCGCAACUGACACUGAAGCACGAAAGCGUGGGUAUCAAACAGG
RNAcentral lists this ribosomal RNA (253 nucleotides) under uncultured bacterium. Its description in RNAcentral is "partial 16S ribosomal RNA". It matches the Rfam family "Bacterial small subunit ribosomal RNA", at positions 524 to 776 of the family's 1533-position model. The record is from RNAcentral.